UGCAUGACUGCAGGAUCACCUCAGCGUACAC
RNAcentral lists this non-coding RNA (31 nucleotides) under Rattus norvegicus (Norway rat). The record is from RNAcentral. Lineage: Eukaryota; Metazoa; Chordata; Mammalia; Rodentia; Muridae.